Molecule: ribosomal RNA, 434 nt
Filed under: uncultured bacterium
Lineage: Bacteria
Description: partial 16S ribosomal RNA
Rfam family: Bacterial small subunit ribosomal RNA
Source: RNAcentral
AGCGAACGCUGGCGGCAGGCCUAACACAUGCAAGUCGAACGAACCUUUCGGGGUUAGUGGCGGACGGGUGAGUAACACGUGGGAACGUGCCUUUAGGUUCGGAAUAACUCAGGGAAACUUGUGCUAAUACCGAAUGUGCCCUUCGGGGGAAAGAUUUAUCGCCUUUAGAGCGGCCCGCGUCUGAUUAGCUAGUUGGUUGAGGUAAUGGCUCACCAAGGCGACGAUCAGUAGCUGGUCUGAGAGGAUGAUCAGCCACAUUGGGACUGAGACACGGCCCAAACUCCUACGGGAGGCGGCAGUGGGGAAUCUUGCGCAAUGGGCGAAAGCCUGACGCAGCCAUGCCGCGUGAAUGAUGAAGGUCUUAGGAUUGUAAAAUUCUUUCAACGGGGACGAUAAUGACGGUACCCGGAGAAGAAGCCCCGGCUAACUUCGUG